RNAcentral lists this non-coding RNA (30 nucleotides) under Mus musculus (house mouse). Lineage: Eukaryota; Metazoa; Chordata; Mammalia; Rodentia; Muridae. The record is from RNAcentral.
UCCAACAGCCUCCAUAAGGCCCACGAUUGU